Molecule: transfer RNA, 73 nt
Filed under: Haemonchus contortus (barber pole worm)
Lineage: Eukaryota; Metazoa; Nematoda; Chromadorea; Rhabditida; Trichostrongylidae
Description: tRNA, Pseudo
Source: RNAcentral
UCCCCCCUGGUCCAGUGAUUAAGACUCUGCACCUCCACUGCAGAGGUCAUGGGUUCAAUCCCUGGUGAAGGAA